RNAcentral lists this ribosomal RNA (2742 nucleotides) under Triticum aestivum (bread wheat). RNAcentral describes it as "partial small subunit ribosomal RNA". The record is from RNAcentral. Lineage: Eukaryota; Viridiplantae; Streptophyta; Magnoliopsida; Poales; Poaceae.
AUGGACAGCGGCGGCAACAAGAGCGGCGCUGCUGCCGGGGGAGGGGACGGCGCGUGCAGCGGCGGCCACCUGUGCCACCUGUGCGGGUACAAGUACGCGAGCGCGCACCCCAGCGCCAAGCAGCGGCGUGCGCACCGCAAGAACUGCGGCGUUGGCGGCGGCGGCGGCGGCGGCAAGUCGCCGCCCACCGCCGCCGCCGCCGCCGCCGCCAGUGCGGAGGUGGAGGAAGAGCGCGAAGGAAAGAAGUCGGUGCUAGGUGUGGAUGUCGGAGGAGAGGGAAAUGGGGCGCCUGCUUCGGAUUCUGGCGGCGUUUUGCCCGGAUCUGCGGAGGAUGUUGGGAAUGCAGUAGAUGACGACGACACUGGAGUGCACUCUUCCCCUAAUAGUGCCAGAGUUCACGUCAUUAUCAAUGAUGUCACUUCUGAAGGGCCUCCUAAAGCUAAUGGAACUGACGUUCAAACUGAAGUUGAUCUGCCGCAUUUUCAAGAUUUGUAUCCGUCUGAAUCACAUUGUAGUGGUGAUCAGCAUCAGGAUGCCCCCGCUUCCCAUUGUCAAUCAGAGCCUGAAGAUGGUGCAAGAUUCAGUCCAGACUUCUCUGCAGAUGAAACAAGCAAGUCAAAUGCUGUGUCCCUGGCAUCAGAUGCUGCUUCAGGUGAAUUUUCUGCACAAACAAUUGCUACAGCUGGUAGCCCUGAUGGUAUUGCCGUUACUGAAAACGAUUGUAUGAUCAACACCAUUGAAGAAGACAAAACUAGUGAGGCCAAGUCGGUAAAAGGUAAUGAGAUUGAUUCGUCCUAUCAAGAGAAGCUGCAAACUAAAAUUGUUGAGGGGCAUAGUCCUGCUACAGUGGAGGAAGAUCUAUAUGUCAACAACUUAGGUGUGGUUCCCGGAGAGCAAAACCCCAGUGAAGACACUGAAUCCAAGGACGAAAGCGGGGUUAUCGAACCUAACCCAGUUGAGCAAGUCUGUGCCAUCAAGGAACCUGUUGAUGUACUUGGGAAUAAGGAGCCUUCUACUGAUAAUAAUGUCCACACAGAUGAUACCAGUAGUGAUGAUUUAUCUCAACUUGCUUCUGGUGGUUGUCAUUUGGAGGCAGCAGAUGUUGUCGAAACACAGCAGCAAAUUGAUUCUACUUCUGUGGUAGCAGAUCAGCUGACAAAUUCCAAACAGACAUGCCUUGAAGAAGGGUCAAGCAAUCCUGGUGCAGAUGAGGUUAUCCAAGCUGUAUCAAGUGCAACAGAGUCUCCUGUGGAUAGUCUAGUUGAGGAGGUCAUAUCAGCUCGCAGUGCUUCUGAUGUUACAAAGAAAGAUACCUCCGAGGUGACAACAGAAGAUGACAAACAGAAUAAUUCUAGCCAUACAAGUGAUGUCAUUUCCAUGCCAUCUCAAAUUGACCCAAUAGAGCCUAGCUUAGACCCUACUCAGGAGAUCAGUAUGAGUAGCAAGCAUGAUGUUGACGUGAAUAAACAAAUUGAGAACGUAAGUGUGGACCUUACCUCCCGUGAGACUAACAAUGUAUGCAGUACGGAUAACAUUGAAGAGACUAAGCAGAAUGAAGAAAUUAGUGCAGAAGAGAGUACUCUGAAGACCAGCAUAUUACAGAGUGCAAGUAGUGUUGAGGAAAAAGAACAGAUUGAAGAGGUGAUAGCAGGUCCUGCUUCUGAUAAUAUCAAUGUGAUAAGCAGCAGAGACAUAAUUGUGCAAAAGGAACAGAGUGAUGUCCAUGUGGGAACUGUUCAUGAGAUAAAUGUGGUGGAUAUCCCAGCUAUAGUUGAAUUAGAGAAGCACGUGGAAGAAAGUACCGCAGACCUCCCAGCUAUAGUUGAAUUAGAGAAGCACGGUGAAGAAACUACCGCAGACCCUACUGCUCGGAUGACGAACAUUACAGAUAAAGUUGAAGAAAAGAAGCAAGAUGAAGAAAUUACGCCAGAUCCUGCUCCUCAUGCUAUCAAUGUGAUACACGAAGACAAUACGCAGAAUGAAGACAUGACAGAGAUCCCUAGUUCUCACGAAAGUGUACUUGACGACGCAGAUAUUGUUAAAGAGAAGGGUGAAGAAACUAUGUCAGAGCCAACCUCUCACAACACUGAUGCGGUAAGCAUCGUUGAUGCCAUUGAAGGAAAGAAGGAGAAAGAAGAGGUAACUCCAGAAUCUACUCUUGAUGCUAGCUUGGUCCACACCAUUGACAAUGUCAAAGGAAAGGAGAGUGAAGAGCCUACUUCGGACCUUACAUCCGUCGAUGCGGGAGGCAAUGCAGGUACUAUCCUUGUCGCAGACUCUAGUUCUCACAUGAACAGCACGCCACAGGGCACAAAUGAUAGCAAAGAAGAGGACCGGGAUGAAAAGGCUGCUGUGGACCAUGCUCGGACCGAUGCUGUUGAAGAAAAGAAGCAGAAGGAAGAGACUGCAGCAGAGACCAACACCAAGGAUAGCGCAAAUGACCAUCCGAAUGAAGAGAUCACAGACAAGGAAAUGACAAUAGAUUCAGAUAAGAGCCAUGUGUCCCUGAAGUCCCUUCUCUCCGAGAAAGGCAUUGAAUUUGAAGUUAAAGAAAAGAAGGUGAGCACCAAGGACAGAAUGCUGUCGUUCAGGCGCCGAUCGUCGAAGGACAACCCUUCGCCUGCCAAGCCAGGUUCCGAGCAGCAAGACUGGAACUCUCCGGCCAGGUUACCGGCGGAGAAGUCGCCGAAAGGGAAGAAGCAGCAGUGGAUGCCGUUUAUUUGCUGCCACUCCAUGAACUGA